Molecule: long non-coding RNA, 193 nt
Organism: Cyprinodon tularosa
Lineage: Eukaryota; Metazoa; Chordata; Actinopteri; Cyprinodontiformes; Cyprinodontidae
Exons: 3
Source: RefSeq, a predicted model, not a curated record
UGAGAAAAUCCUGAGAAAAGGAAAGAUUUCUUUUCCGACAACUAAAAAAGAAAUAAACAAGCACAGGAUGAAAAUUGCGACCACUCUCCUUCUCAGCACAGAUGACCUGAGCAACCUCUGUCACUUUUGUGGCGAGAAAAACACGGACACUGAAGACAUCUGGAUUCAGUGUGACGACUGCUUCAGAUGGUAC